UUGAAAGGGAAACGAUUGAAGUCAGUCGUACCGACGAGAAAUCAGCUUUUCGAAUGUGCAUUUGUGGGCGUAUGAGAUCUUCAUUGUUUGCAAUAUGUAUAUUUCUUUGGUGUACUUUUUUCGUAUGGUAGGUUAACGUCGGUUUUGGUCGCCAUAAAAUGACCGGAGAAAUGUAGCUUCGGCUUCGGUUGAAGUGUUAUAGCCUUUGGUAGAUGUGGGGGAUUAGGACCGAGGAUUGCAACGAAUACCUUUUAGGUUAUCCGUCUGACCUCUGAAAGUUACUUAGGUGCCGAAAGCUUGCUUACGGUCAUUUAAGUUGACGGUCAAUAGGUUAGAACGCGAUUACAUUCGUUAAGGAUGUUGACGUA
This 368-nucleotide ribosomal RNA is filed under the name uncultured Glomeromycotina. RNAcentral's name for it is "LSU rRNA". The record is from RNAcentral. Lineage: Eukaryota; Fungi; Glomeromycota.